Molecule: ribosomal RNA, 484 nt
Filed under: uncultured bacterium
Lineage: Bacteria
Description: partial 16S ribosomal RNA
Rfam family: Bacterial small subunit ribosomal RNA
Source: RNAcentral
AUUGUACGCUGGCGGCAUGCUUUACACAUGCAAGUCGAACGGCAGCGCGGGCUUCGGCCUGGCGGCGAGUGGCGAACGGGUGAGUAAUACAUCGGAACGUGCCCAGUAGUGGGGGAUAGCUCGGCGAAAGCCGGAUUAAUACCGCAUACGACCUGAGGGUGAAAGCGGGGGAUCUUCGGACCUCGCGCUAUUGGAGCGGCCGAUGGCCGAUUAGCUAGUUGGUGGGGUAAAGGCCUACCAAGGCGACGAUCUGUAGCUGGUCUGAGAGGACGACCAGCCACACUGGGACUGAGACACGGCCCAGACUCCUACGGGAGGCAGCAGUGGGGAAUUUUGGACAAUGGGCGAAAGCCUGAUCCAGCAAUGCCGCGUGUGUGAUGAAGGCCUUCGGGUUGUAAAGCACUUUUGGCGGGAACGAAAAGGACUGUGCCAAUACCACGGUUCGAUGACGGUACCCGCAGAAUAAGCACCGGCUAACUACGUG